RNAcentral lists this unclassified non-coding RNA (1325 nucleotides) under uncultured Neocallimastigales. RNAcentral describes it as "partial contains small subunit ribosomal RNA, internal transcribed spacer 1, 5.8S ribosomal RNA, internal transcribed spacer 2, and large subunit ribosomal RNA". The stretch from base 607 to 1325 matches the Rfam family "Eukaryotic large subunit ribosomal RNA", at positions 1 to 641 of the family's 3401-position model. Lineage: Eukaryota; Fungi; Neocallimastigomycota; Neocallimastigomycetes; Neocallimastigales. The record is from RNAcentral.
UUUCCGUAGGUGAACCUGCGGAAGGAUCAUUAAAAAAUGUGGUACCAAUUAUUGGUACUAAUUAAUCAUCCUACCCUUUGUGAAUUUGUUUGUAUGAAUUUUUUAAAUGGGUCUUUCCCUAAGUUGGAUUGUUGGUAAAAUACAAAAAGACUUAGGGAAUGACUUUUUUAAAAGACUUUUUUUUAAUUAAACUUUUUGUAUUCAUUUGUCUAAAAUUUAUUUUUAUAAUAUAAAAACAACUUUUGACAAUGGAUCUCUUGGUUCUCGCAACGAUGAAGAACGCAGCAAAAUGCGAUAAGUAGUGUGAAUUGCAGAAUACGUGAAUCAUCGAAUCUUCGAACGCAUAUUGCACUUUUUUAGUUUACUAAAAAAGUAUGUCUGUUUGAGUAUCAGUAAAAUAUUCUCACAAACAUUAUUGUUUGUGGUUAUGAGUGUUUUACAACGAUAAACAAGUUGUUUCACUUUAAAUUCUUUUUAAUUGAAUUUUACCAAUUCAUAAAUUAAAAUUGGAUAAAAUUUUCCUUUAACCAAGGAAUAACCUAAACAAAUUUUAAAUUUUAUGGAUUAAUAAACAUUCAUCAAAGGAAUCUAUUAUACAAAAUAACUUGAUCUCAAAUCAGAUAAGAGUACCCGCUGAACUUAAGCAUAUCAAUAAGCGGAGGAAAAGAAACUAACAAGGAUUCCCUUAGUAACGGCGAGUGAAGCGGGAAGAGCUCAAAUUUGAAAUCUUCAAGGUUUGACCUUGACGAAUUGUAGUUUAUAGAAGUGUUUUCUGUUGGAGUUUGGUAAAAGUUCUUUGGAAUAGGACAUCAUAGAGGGUGAGAAUCCCGUAUUUGACCAUGACUUUCCAGCUGUGUGAUACACUUUCAAAGAGUCGGAUUGUUUGGGAAUGCAGUCCAAAAUGGGUGGUAAAUUCAUCUAAAGCUAAAUAUUGGCGAGAGACCGAUAGCGAACAAGUACCGUGAGGGAAAGAUGAAAAGAACUUUGAAAAGAGAGUUAAACAGUACGUGAAAUUGUCAAAAGGGAAGCGUUUGACACCAGUGUUGUUUUCUCGAAAAUCAAUUUAAUGAGUUCUUGUUUUUAAGUUAUUGUGACUUUAUCAGCGCAUUUCUUAUUUUACUUGGCUCAUUGAAUGCACUUUUCGUUUAACAAGUAACAUCAAUUUCUUGGUGGUAAAAGUUUAAAGGAAGGUGGCUUGGACUUCGGUUCAAGUGUUUAUAGCCUUUUUUUUCUAUGCCAUCGGAGAGAUUGAGGUCUGCAGCGUAGAUCCUUCGGGUUAGAUACUUUAGUGCUAAGUUAUAGUUUUUUAUAGACAACUUGUUGAC